AGAAUCAACGCUGGCGGCGUGCCUAACACAUGCAAGUCGCACGAGAAAGGGAGUUCGCUCCUGAGUAAAGUGGCGCACGGGUGAGUAACACGUGAAUUAUCUACCUCCGAAUGGGGAAUAACUGAGAGAAAUCUUAGCUAAUACCGCAUAAUACCUACGGGUCAAAGCAGCAAUGCGUUUGGAGAGGAGUUCGCGGUCGAUUAGUUAGUUGGCGGGGUAAUGGCCCACCAAGACGAUGAUCGAUAUCCGGCCUGAGAGGGCGCACGGACACACUGGAACUGAAACACGGUCCAGACUCCUACGGGAGGCAGCAGUGGGGAAUUUUGCGCAAUGGGGGAAACCCUGACGCAGCAACGCCGCGUGGAGGAUGAAAUAUCUUGGUAUGUAAACUCCUUUCGAUGGGGAAGAUAAUGACGGUACCCAUAGAAGAAGCCCGGCUAACUUCGUGCCAGCAGCCGC
This 459-nucleotide ribosomal RNA is filed under the name uncultured bacterium. RNAcentral's name for it is "SSU rRNA". It matches the Rfam family "Bacterial small subunit ribosomal RNA", at positions 26 to 518 of the family's 1533-position model. The record is from RNAcentral.